RNAcentral lists this ribosomal RNA (165 nucleotides) under uncultured bacterium. Its description in RNAcentral is "partial 16S rRNA". It matches the Rfam family "Bacterial small subunit ribosomal RNA", at positions 355 to 511 of the family's 1533-position model. The record is from RNAcentral.
UAGGGAAUCUUCGGCAAUGGGGGCAACCCUGACCGAGCAACGCCGCGUGAGUGAAGAAGAUUUUCGGAUCGUAAAGCUCUGUUGUAAGAGAAGAACGUGUGUGAGAGUGGAAAGUUCACACAGUGACGGUAACUUACCAGAAAGGGACGGCUAACUACGUGCUAG